Molecule: ribosomal RNA, 497 nt
Filed under: uncultured bacterium
Lineage: Bacteria
Description: partial 16S ribosomal RNA
Rfam family: Bacterial small subunit ribosomal RNA
Source: RNAcentral
GAUGAACGCUGGCGGCGUGCCUAAUACAUGCAAGUCGAGCGAACAGACGAGGAGCUUGCUCCUCUGACGUUAGCGGCGGGCGGGUGAGUAACACGUGGAUAACCUACCUAUAAGACUGGGAUAACUUCGGGAAACCGGAGCUAAUACCGGAUAAUAUAUUGAACCGCAUGGUUCAAUAGUGAAAGACGGUUUUGCUGUCACUUAUAGAUGGAUCCGCGCCGCAUUAGCUAGUUGGUAAGGUAACGGCUUACCAAGGCAACGAUGCGUAGCCGACCUGAGAGGGUGAUCGGCCACACUGGAACUGAGACACGGUCCAGACUCCUACGGGAGGCAGCAGUAGGGAAUCUUCCGUAAUGGGCGAAAGCCUGACGGAGCAACGCCGCGUGAGUGAUGAAGGUCUUCGGAUCGUAAAACUCUGUUAUUAGGGAAGAACAAAUGUGUAAGUAACUAUGCACGUCUUGACGGUACCUAAUCAGAAAGCCACGGCUAACUACGUG